This 301-nucleotide ribosomal RNA is filed under the name uncultured bacterium. Its description in RNAcentral is "partial 16S ribosomal RNA". It matches the Rfam family "Bacterial small subunit ribosomal RNA", at positions 509 to 807 of the family's 1533-position model. The record is from RNAcentral.
CAGUAGCCGCGGGAAAACGAAGGGGGCUAGCGUUGUUCGGAUUUACUGGGCGUAAAGCGCACGUAGGCGGAUCGAUCAGUCAGGGGUGAAAUCCCAGAGCUCAACUCUGGAACUGCCUUUGAUACUGUCGAUCUGGAGUAUGGAAGAGGUGAGUGGAAUUCCGAGUGUAGAGGUGAAAUUCGUAGAUAUUCGGAGGAACACCAGUGGCGAAGGCGGCUCACUGGUCCAUUAUUGACACUGAGGUGCGAAAGCGUGGGGAGCAAACAGGAUUAGAUACCCCCGUAGUCCCUGUCUCUUAUAC